This 791-nucleotide ribosomal RNA is filed under the name uncultured bacterium. Its description in RNAcentral is "bacterial SSU rRNA". It matches the Rfam family "Bacterial small subunit ribosomal RNA", at positions 1 to 796 of the family's 1533-position model. The record is from RNAcentral.
GGAUUAGUUUGAUCCUGGCUCAGGAUGAACGCUAGCGGGAGGCCUAACACAUGCAAGCCGAGCGGUAUUUAUUCUUCGGAAUAGAGAGAGCGGCGUACGGGUGCGGAACACGUGUGCAACCUGCCUUUAUCAGGGGGAUAGCCUUUCGAAAGGAAGAUUAAUACCCCAUAAUAUAAGAAACGGCAUCGUUUUUUAUUGAAAACUCCGGUGGAUAGAGAUGGGCACGCGCAAGAUUAGAUAGUUGGUAGGGUAACGGCCUACCAAGUCAGUGAUCUUUAGGGGGCCUGAGAGGGUGAUCCCCCACACUGGUACUGAGACACGGACCAGACUCCUACGGGAGGCAGCAGUGAGGAAUAUUGGACAAUGGGUGAGAGCCUGAUCCAGCCAUCCCGCGUGAAGGACGACGGCCCUAUGGGUUGUAAACUUCUUUUGUAUAGGGAUAAACCUUUCCACGUGUGGAAAGCUGAAGGUACUAUACGAAUAAGCACCGGCUAACUCCGUGCCAGCAGCCGCGGUAAUACGGAGGGUGCAAGCGUUAUCCGGAUUUAUUGGGUUUAAAGGGUCCGUAGGCGGAUCUGUAAGUCAGUGGUGAAAUCUCAUAGCUUAACUAUGAAACUGCCAUUGAUACUGCAGGUCUUGAGUAAAGUAGAAGUGGCUGGAAUAAGUAGUGUAGCGGUGAAAUGCAUAGAUAUUACUUAGAACACCAAUUGCGAAGGCAGGUCACUAUGUUUUAACUGACGCUGAUGGACGAAAGCGUGGGGAGCGAACAGGAUUAGAUACCCUGGUAGUCC